This 110-nucleotide non-coding RNA is filed under the name Clostridia bacterium. RNAcentral describes it as "SAM-I sequence". It matches the Rfam family "SAM riboswitch aptamer (S box leader)". From Rfam's summary of the family: The SAM riboswitch is found upstream of a number of genes which code for proteins involved in methionine or cysteine biosynthesis in Gram-positive bacteria. The SAM riboswitch acts at the level of transcription termination control. The predicted structure consists of a complex stem-loop region followed by a single stem loop terminator region. Lineage: Bacteria; Bacillati; Bacillota; Clostridia. The record is from RNAcentral.
CUCUUAUCCAGAGAGGCGGAGGGACUGGCCCGAUGAAGCCCGACAACCAGCAUUCUCAUUUGAAUGCAAUGGUGUCAAUUCCUGCAGUACCAAGUACUGAUAGAUGAGAG